Molecule: ribosomal RNA, 305 nt
Filed under: uncultured bacterium
Lineage: Bacteria
Description: bacterial SSU rRNA
Rfam family: Bacterial small subunit ribosomal RNA
Source: RNAcentral
GUUUUCCUACGGGACGCAGCAGUAGGGAAUUUUCGUCAAUGGGCGCAAGCCUGAACGAGCAAUGCCGCGUGAACGAGGAAGGUCUUCGGAUCGUAAAGUUCUGUUGAAGGGGAAAAAGAGCGGAGAGAGGAAAUGCUUUCUGAUUGAUAUUACCCUUCGAGGAAGUCACGGCUAACUACGUGCCAGCAGCCGCGGUAAUACGUAGGUGGCGAGCGUUAUCCGGAAUGAUUGGGCGUAAAGGGUGCGUAGGCUGUUGUGUAAGUUGGGGGUGAAAUCCCACGGCUCAACCGUGGAACAGCCCUUGA